Molecule: ribosomal RNA, 496 nt
Filed under: uncultured bacterium
Lineage: Bacteria
Description: partial 16S ribosomal RNA
Rfam family: Bacterial small subunit ribosomal RNA
Source: RNAcentral
AUGAACGCUGGCGGCGUGCCUAAUACAUGCAAGUCGCGCGAACAGACGAGGAGCUUGCUCCUCUGACGUUAGCGGCGGACGGGUGAGUAACACGUGGAUAACCUACCUAUAAGACUGGGAUAACUUCGGGAAACCGGAGCUAAUACCGGAUAAUAUAUUGAACCGCAUGGUUCGAUAGUGAAAGACGGUUUUGCUGUCACUUAUAGAUGGAUCCGCGCCGCAUUAGCUAGUUGGUAAGGUAACGGCUUACCAAGGCGACGAUGCGUAGCCGACCUGAGAGGGUGAUCGGCCACACUGGAACUGAGACACGGUCCAGACUCCUACGGGAGGCAGCAGUAGGGAAUCUUCCGCAAUGGGCGAAAGCCUGACGGAGCAACGCCGCGUGAGUGAUGAAGGUCUUCGGAUCGUAAAACUCUGUUAUUAGGGAAGAACAAAUGUGUAAGUAACUAUGCACGUCUUGACGGUACCUAAUCAGAAAGCCACGGCUAACUACGUG